This is an RNA transcript of Otolemur garnettii (small-eared galago), 783 nucleotides long. It is a transcript of the gene named polyribonucleotide nucleotidyltransferase 1, mitochondrial pseudogene, with no coding region annotated. The record is from RefSeq and is a predicted model, not a curated record. Lineage: Eukaryota; Metazoa; Chordata; Mammalia; Primates; Galagidae. The transcript has a single exon.
GAUAUUAAAUUACCUGGAAUACCAAUAAAAAUUGCAAUGGAGGCCAUUCAACUAGCUUCAGUGGCAAAGAAAGAGAUAUUACAGAUUAUGAACAAAACCAUUUCAAAACCUCGAGCAUCUAGAAAAGAAAAUGGACCUGUUGUAGAAACUGUUCAGGUUCCAUUAUCAAAACGAGCAAAAUUUGUUGGACCAGGUGGAUAUCAUCUAAAAAAACUUCAGGCUGAAACAGGUGUAAGUAUUAGUCAGGUGGAUGAAGAAACAUUUUCUAUAUUUGCACCAACACCCAGUGCUAUGCAUGAAGCAAGAGACUUCAUUACUGAAAUCUGCAAAGAUGAUCAGGAGCAGCAAUUAGAAUUUGGAGCAGUAUACACCGCCACAAUAACUGAAAUCAGAGACAGUGGAGUAAUGUUGAAACUAUAUCCAAAUAUGACUGCGGUUCUACUUCAUAACACACAACUUGAUCAAGGGAAGAUUAAACAUCCCACUGCCCUGGGAUUAGAAGUUGGCCAAGAAAUUCAGGUGAAAUACUUCGGACGUGAUCCAGCAGAUGGAAGGAUGAGGCUUUCUCCUAAAGUGCUUCAGUCCCCAGCUACAACUGUUGUCAAAACUUUAAAUGAUAGAAGCAGUAUUGUAAUGGGAGAACCUAUUUCACAGACAUCAUCUAAUUCUCAGUGAUUUUUUUUUUAAGAGAAUUCUAGGGUGAUAAGUGGUAGAAAAAAAUUUUAGUAUUAUCUUCUGAUGUAUAGAUUUAUACAUAGUAUAAAUAUAUUCUAAUUAUUUGUA